Molecule: non-coding RNA, 108 nt
Organism: Pelobates cultripes (western spadefoot toad)
Lineage: Eukaryota; Metazoa; Chordata; Amphibia; Anura; Pelobatidae
Source: the annotation of a GenBank genome assembly
CUGGAGGAUGAUGAGUUGCACACAAGGACCCAUAGUGCUGUGUACUGUGGGGCCUGACAGAGCUAGACUGGUGACAAGAACAAGUGCACAGGGGCCAGCUGACUCCAC